Molecule: long non-coding RNA, 410 nt
Organism: Eptesicus fuscus (big brown bat)
Lineage: Eukaryota; Metazoa; Chordata; Mammalia; Chiroptera; Vespertilionidae
Exons: 2
Source: RefSeq, a predicted model, not a curated record
CCGCACUCGAUGGACACCGGGUCGUUGAAAAAGUCCAGACAGAUGGGGCAGUGUUUUAGAUCGUUCAACUCCCAGGAGGUCUGAGGACCAGGAGAUGCUCUAUGCCAACUCUUGGGGGAUCUGCUGAGUAGCUGUCAUCUAAGAUGCUGGGAAGGAGCAAAUCCUGUAGCUGCUGGUGCUGGAGCAGUUUCUGAUCCUCCUACCUGAUGAGGUCAAGACCAGGAUGAGAGAGCAAUGCUUAGAGAGUGGAGCUGAAGCUGUAGCUGUUGUGAAAGACUGGGAGAGAGGGUGAAAAAUAAGUUGUUUUUUUUUUUAAGCGGGAGUGAUUAAGAUUCUGCCUUUUGGACCCAGCUUGAAGACAGCAACCAUUUUGCUAUGCCAAGGAGCAUCCAUUAAGGCUUUCAACAAAU